This 409-nucleotide ribosomal RNA is filed under the name uncultured bacterium. RNAcentral describes it as "bacterial SSU rRNA". It matches the Rfam family "Bacterial small subunit ribosomal RNA", at positions 432 to 842 of the family's 1533-position model. The record is from RNAcentral.
UCUUUUAUAAGGGAAUAAAGUGUGGGACGUGUCCUAUUUUGUAUGUACCUUAUGAAUAAGGAUCGGCUAACUCCGUGCCAGCAGCCGCGGUAAUACGGAGGAUCCGAGCGUUAUCCGGAUUUAUUGGGUUUAAAGGGUGCGUAGGCGGCCUUUUAAGUCAGCGGUGAAAGUCUGUGGCUCAACCAUAGAAUUGCCGUUGAAACUGGGGGGCUUGAGUAUGUUUGAGGCAGGCGGAAUGCGUGGUGUAGCGGUGAAAUGCUUAGAUAUCACGCAGAACCCCGAUUGCGAAGGCAGCCUGCCAAGCCAUGACUGACGCUGAUGCACGAAAGCGUGGGGAUCAAACAGGAUUAGAUACCCUGGUAGUCCACGCAGUAAACGAUGAUCACUAGCUGUUUGCGAUACAGUGUAA